GCCGCUGUAGCUCAGUUGGUAGAGCACCGCAUUCGUAAUGCGUAGGUCGGGUGUUCGAGUCACCCCAGCGGCACCA
This 76-nucleotide transfer RNA is filed under the name Sneathiella chungangensis. RNAcentral describes it as "tRNA-Thr". It matches the Rfam family "tRNA". Rfam says of the family: Transfer RNA (tRNA) molecules are approximately 80 nucleotides in length. RNAcentral also lists the same sequence under 3 other names. The record is from RNAcentral. Lineage: Bacteria; Pseudomonadati; Pseudomonadota; Alphaproteobacteria; Sneathiellales; Sneathiellaceae.